Molecule: transfer RNA, 83 nt
Filed under: Lentinula aciculospora
Lineage: Eukaryota; Fungi; Basidiomycota; Agaricomycetes; Agaricales; Omphalotaceae
Rfam family: tRNA
About the family: Transfer RNA (tRNA) molecules are approximately 80 nucleotides in length. Their secondary structure includes four short double-helical elements and three loops (D, anti-codon, and T loops). Further hydrogen bonds mediate the characteristic L-shaped molecular structure. tRNAs have two regions of fundamental functional importance: the anti-codon, which is responsible for specific mRNA codon recognition, and the 3' end, to which the tRNAs corresponding amino acid is attached (by aminoacyl-tRNA synthetases). tRNAs cope with the degeneracy of the genetic code in two manners: having more than one tRNA (with a specific anti-codon) for a particular amino acid; and 'wobble' base-pairing, i.e. permitting non-standard base-pairing at the 3rd anti-codon position.
Source: Rfam by way of RNAcentral
UCCUUCUUAGCUCAGUUGGUAGAGCGCGUCACUAGUACGUCUUACAAAUGACGAGGUCAGUCGUUCAAGUCGGCUAGAAGGAA